AUGUUCGCUACCCAAUCCCGUUCUCGUGUGAACAACUGCCGCCAAUCCCUCACCAAUGCACAGAAAGGCUCCUUGAGCGCAUCCGCAUACUUUGGGCAGAUGAGAGCACUCUCGGAUGAGCUAGCUGCCGCCGGGAACCCCAUAAUAGAAGCAGAUCUUCUUUCUCACAUCAUUGCAGGGCUCGACAUGGACUACCAACCUCUGAUCUCGGUGCUGGACGUACGCACUGCUCCCCUCUCGGUGGAUGAUCUCUUUGGCAUGGUCUCCAACUUCGACUAGCGCGUUGAGAUGUUCCACGGG
Molecule: ribosomal RNA, 300 nt
Filed under: Triticum aestivum (bread wheat)
Lineage: Eukaryota; Viridiplantae; Streptophyta; Magnoliopsida; Poales; Poaceae
Description: partial small subunit ribosomal RNA
Source: RNAcentral